CGCGCGUCAAAAGCAACUGAGAUUGCCCUGCUUAUUAAUUUUAGAAGCUGGAUGAGAGAGCAGAUAAUAUUCACACAAACUUCCAGAGACUUGUCAUUAUAAUACAAUAUAACAAAGUAAACAGCUUCUUUCUUCUACCCACCUGUCUCACCCUGAGUCCCCGCAGCGUGUGUUGUUGUGGCUUUGGUUUUUUCAAACUCGACGCGCGCGCUGCGUGCGCUCCGCUCCGCUCUCUUCUCAGCGACGCUCGACUAGCACUUCCGUGUUGGCGAGUCCCGACGUCACGCGGAAUGUGAAGCAGGAAACGCGGAUGUGUUGCGCUUAAUCUGCAUCUACAGGUAUUCGCAAACAACUCUCUUUCUUUCUUCACUUUAUUAAUUCUUAUCAACACAAGACACCGUAGCGCCAUUUUUGAUCAUGUGUUUUUAUAGCCGUCAGUUUAAGCUCUGAAGGGUUCUGAUCGGAUUCGCUUAAUUCGUAUUUGUGUGUGUGUGUGUGUGUGUGUGUGUGUGUGUGUGUGUGUGUGUGAUCCAGACGUGUUCCGAUCCAUAUGUCAAACCCAAACCCCCUUUCAAGCUGAUCUGAUCCAAACGCAGUGCAUCGGACGCGGGUCGGACGGAACCGAGUGGAGGAAUGCCUACCGGUGUGUGUGGAUGUUGUGGUCCUCUGCGGCCACGCUACAAGCGUCUAGUGGACAACAUUUUCCCAGAGGACCCCAAGGAUGGACUGGUGAAAUCCGAUAUGGAAAAGUUGACUUUUUAUGCAGUGUCCGCACCAGAGAAGCUGGACCGUAUCGGAGCGUACCUGGCCGAACGCCUCAGCAGAGAUGUGGUACGACAUCGCUACGGGUACGUGGUAAUAGCAAUGGAGGCGUUGGAUCAGUUGUUGAUGGCAUGUCAUUCCCAGAGUAUCAAGCCGUUUGUGGAGAGCUUCUUACACAUGGUAGCCAAACUGCUGGAAUCCAGAGAACCCGAUUUACAAGUGCUGGGAACCAACUCCUUUGUGAAGUUUGCAAACAUUGAGGAGGAUACGCCAUCUUACCAUCGCAGAUAUGACUUUUUCGUCUCUCAGUUCAGUGCCAUGUGUCACUCCACACACGAGGACCCCGAAACUCGCAACAGGAUCCGUGUAGCAGGCAUUAAGGGUCUCCAGGGUGUCGUCAGAAAGACUGUGAAUGAUGAACUCCAGGCAAUCAUCUGGGAACCUCAACACAUGGAUAAACUCAUCCCCUCCAUGCUGUUCAACAUGCAAGAUAAUGAGGACUCCGAGAGGUACAGGGCUUUCAAACGCAUCUCUUCCUCUAUCACACCGCCUCACCUUCUCCAUCACAUCUCUCCGUCUCUUAUGUCUCGCUCUUUCUCUUGCUCUCUCCUAAUUAAACUGUGCGCGGUGCGCUCUGUAUUUAUUAAACUUGCGCAUUUAGACAACCAUCGUCUGUGGGACCCGAAUGAUUUUGCUGUUUCCUGUUUCAGGAUAAUCAUGUACUCAAUACAGGCCCAGCAUUCUCACCAUGUGAUCCAGCAAGUGUUGUCUCACCUUGACACCCACAGUAAGAACACCCCGCGUGUGAGGGCAGGUAUCGUUCAGGUGCUGCUGGAGACGGUUGCCAUAGCAGCCAAGGGCUCCAUCGGUCCCACGGUCCUGGAGGUGUUUAACACCCUGCUAAAGCAUCUGCGUAUGAGUGUGGAUUUUGAGCUGGGCGACGGUUCCCGCAGGAACUCCGCGAGCAGCCUUUCCUCCACCCGCACCAAAGAGAGCGAGGAGCGGAUCGUCCAGAAUGCUAUCAUCCAAACCAUUGGUUUCUUUGGAGGAAAUCUUCCUGAUUAUCAGAGAGCUGAAGUGAUGAUGUUCGUUAUGGGGAAAGUUCCUGUUUACGGCACGCCGUGUCACACGCUGGACACCGUUACGUCAGGGUUUAAGUGUAAAACGAUUUGUGCUGGCCUGCCCAUGGCGUUUCUGGAGCCAUUAUGCUCUAUCUCUUUGAUGGAAGACAGUGAACUACGGCAGCUCGUCUUGGAGAUUUUGCACAACAUCAUUGAUCGCCAUGACAACAGAGCCAAACUCAGAGGGAUCCGGAUUAUUCCUAAUGUAGCCGCUCUGAAGAUCAAGAGAGAGAAAAUCUCCAAACAGGAUGUGGUUUUCAUGAAAAAGCAUGGGCAGCAGCUAUACAGACACAUCUAUCUGGGCUGUAAGGAGGAAGAUAAUGUGCAGAAGAACUUUGAGCUGCUUUUCACAGCUUUGGCAUUGAUCACUAUUGAACUUGCCAAUGAGGAGGUGGUGAUUGAUCUCAUACGCCUGUCCAUCGCCCUGCAGGAUAUGGCCCUGGCCAAUGAGGAGAACAUGCCAAUGUUUAUUCGCUGUGGAAUCAUGGCAUUGAUUGCCGCAUACCUCAACUUCCUCAGUCAGAUGAUUGCAAAUCCCCCUUUCUGCCAACACGUCAGCAAGGUGAUUGAGAUGAGAAAUCUAGAUGCUCCGCACCUUUUGCCUGAACACGUCUUCAGAGAGAAGUGUGUGCUCCCAGACUCUUUAGACCGGGACGACGUUGGUUUGUAUUUUCAGACGGCUGAUCUGGCAGAAGCUCUGUCUGUACCUGGAUAUAACGUAGAGAGACUAGCUGUUCCGUACAUACCGCAGGUUACAGAUGAAGAUCGACUGCCCCGUAGGAAGAGUUUUGUCGACACUAUUUCUCUCCAAGUUGACAUCCUUUCCAACAGCUUGCCUGAUCAGUCUCAGCUUGCAGAGGAGAUCACGUUUGAGACCCUGAAGAAGGCCAUCGAUACCACAGGUCUGGAGGAACAGGAGAGGGAGAGGAGACGGCAGGUGAUGGAGAAGUUCCAGAAGGCUCCGUUUGAAGAGAUUGCCGCCCACUGCGAGUCCAAGGCCAACAUGCUGCACGAUCGCUUGGCUCAGAUAUUUGAACUCACCAUUCGCCCUCCCCCGAGCCCAUCGGGCACCGUGACGGUGACGUCAGGCCACGCCCAAUACCAGUCUGUGCCAGUCUACGAAAUGAAGUUCCCUGACCUCUGCGUGUACUGAACCACGGCCUUUCACCUUAACUCUAUCACACAGACUCAACCUUGACAUGUGACCACUGACCUUUAUCACACUUUAUGUGUGUAAACUCACCUGAGCCACUCAUCUUCAUUAGACAUCUUUCACUAUGAACGUCACUUACAUUCAUGUCCAGCAGAAAGAAGGGGUGCAGACUGGACGGCCACUUCAUGCCUCUAUUCUACACCAGUCAGCACACAGAGCUUUACGACCAGCUGUCCAGUCAUACACCAGCUCUGUAGAAUCAUGUGAAUCGUAUGUGUGUGGUUUUCACUUUGAUUCUUGCACUAAACGGCAGCUCCAAGAAUCAAACUGAGUCUUUUAAACACUUGAUUCUUCAGCUUCUUAAUCUAUUGAUUCAAAGGAGUCAUUUAGAAAAUGACUCACUCUGGAUUUAUUAAGGGAACUUAAUUGCUAGCAUUAGCUUAAGUGCUAGUUUAUGUUCAUUAACUCUCAUUUCUAAACCAUCAUCAGCAGAGAGAUUUGAACAUACGAUAGAUUUCUGCUCGCUUAAAUCUCUCCUAUAUAAAUAAUUAUAGUGUACAGUAUCGCACAGUAUAGUAUAGGCUAUUUUUGACAAAUAUAUAUAUAUAUACUUUUAGAUGAAAUGAUUGCUGAUAGUUGCAGAGUGUUAUUUGUAUUCUGUUUGCAUGGCUUAGCCAAUGUUUCAUUGCAAACGUUUGUGAGUUUAGGCCUUUAUUAAUCUACAAUUAGCCUUUAACUUCAAUGUUGUGGAUGUCAACGGGGCUUUUGUUCACCCAGAGUUCUUAGUGAUCACUAUGCUCUCCAUUUUGCCUUCACUGUAUAGAGAAACCAAAUCAUUUGCUUUUCAUCACCAAAGAGCUACGCACUUCCUUUAUGGCCACACACGGCUGCCAAUCAAAUCUUGAGCCAAUCAGAAACUGAAUUCUCUUUGAGGGCGGGAACACCACAGUGUUCUUGAACUCAAACCUCAGAACAGUUUCUAGAAACCCGGGGGCCGAAAAAUGAUGGAUUAUCAGUGAUAAAAUGAUCUGCAUUCAUCAACCAGCUGUUUUUUUUAUCGAGCCACAAGGACGUUGAAAUGCUUUUCUGCUUUUCAGGUGACUUCAUUCAUCUACCUUGGACAAAAUAAAAAUGUGUGUGACUGUUAGAUGCUGAAAUAC
Molecule: long non-coding RNA, 4196 nt
Organism: Sinocyclocheilus grahami
Lineage: Eukaryota; Metazoa; Chordata; Actinopteri; Cypriniformes; Cyprinidae
Product: protein EFR3 homolog A-like
Source: Ensembl